CCCAGCUAAUUUUUAUAUUUUUAGUAGAGACGGGGUUUUGCCAUGUUGGUCGGGCUAGCCUCUAACUCCUGACCUCAGGGGAUCUGCCUGCCUCGGCCUCCCAAAGUUCUGGGAUUACAGGCAUGAGCCACUGCGCCCAGCCCGGUCAGCAAUCUUCUUAAAGGUAGAAACCAUACUUUUCUUCUAUAAUACCAUUUUCAGGAGUGGCGCAAAAUAUGUUUUUAAGAAUUAUGCAAUUGAAUUGAAUUGAGCUACUUCCCGGAUUUAGAAUGACAAAUGCUUUCUCUCCAUCUGCUUAAGAAUGAACUGGCCUUCCCAUUUAGAGGCAAGCAUGCCCAACGCCCAAUGCUAGGCUUUCCCUGGAGAACACAGGACAGCUGAACGCUUGGGGAAGAAUUACUUCUGCUAUGGCACGGUUCUCUUGAGCAGAGAACUUUAAAGGGAUCAUUAUCUGCUUGUAAGGAAUGGAGGUCAGCAUGCCUGAAAACAGGAGUUGUGCAGAUAACCUUGCCAUAUUUAGAAUUCUAUGCCUGGAAACAGCGGAGAAGAUGCUGGUGGAUGUGGAUAUUAAAACCUCCCCCUGGGGGCUAAAAAGAGACAUCAGGAGAGGCUCAGGAUCAAACAAUAUCUCCAUAUGAAAUUAUUCCGGGUUGCACACUGCACCCAUGUGCUUACAGAGUCUACUCAACUCUUGGAUCUGGGCUCAGGCCUGACCAAUCAGAACAGUACAUUCCUGUGAUCUUAGUAAAGGUUGGAUAUCUAACCCAAUAAAAGCUUGCAAAAGGCGGAAAAACCUUUGCUGGAGCUGCUGGGAGAGAGGGAAAUGCUCUUUCUCGCUGGACUGGAAUUGGGGAUGAUGUGGAAGGAUGAAUGACUGCUAGAGCUGUUGCUGCCAUCUGCCUGCAUGGGAGAGCAUGUCUGACAACAAAACCAAUACCAAUACACAGGAAGUGAAGCCAAAGGCUGGAGAGAGACCAGCUCCAGGUGACAACAUUGGAGCCCCAGAAUCCGCCCAAAUCUUCUUUUAUUUAAGGAUUGGGUAUUCUUUCACUUGCAACUGAAAGAAGGGUAACCAAUAUCCACUGUCUGACAUAGCAGAAGAAACUGGCUCAGUAGGCAUCUCCUGCAGCCUCCAGCCCAGCUGUCUGGAUGUGAUGGUUUAGUAAAAGAACAGUAACUCCCUCAUAUUCCCCUCUCCCAUUUGAUCUGAUGGCCUGUGUCUACUAUACUUCACCAAAAGGAUAUGGUGCUGUGACAGAUGCAGAGGUAACUGAAACACAGCUCACAUUUUUCAUGGAGUUCUUGUAAGCAGGGGGGACACACCAUAGCCUAUUAUUUAAGGCAGAUUGAGAUGCAUGUCUUGGGAAAAGAACAAACAAGGUUUUUUUGAAGAUGCAAGGAAAGAAGAGCUCAUAUCUGAUUGGUGGGGACCAGUGGAUGCUUCAUGGAAAAGGGCUAUUUGGGAUGAGUCUUCAACGAUGAGAAUUUUAAUGGGCAGACAUGGGCAGGAGCCUUUGCAGGUAGAUGAAAUAGUGUGAUGAAGGUCAGGGAGGUGGGAAAGAUGAAGUGAACAUUGAAAAGUAGAGUUGGACUGGAAGACAGGGGACAUUUAGGGGAAUCACCAGCCUGCAAAGUAAGUUGGUGUCAUCUAGGAAGAUGCCUCUAAUGAGAAGCUUGUUCUUAGUCCAGUAGGUGAUGGGGAGUUAUUGAACAUUCUUGAGCAGGGAAGUGGCCUCAUUGGUGCUACUCUUGAGGGGCCUGAGAUGGAGGUGGGGAGAGAUCCAGUGUGGAAAAACCACUGAGGUGGGAUUGGGAGGUAACCUUGACUCAUCCACAGGAUGGGGAGAAAGCCAGGGAAGGAAAGGCAGGGAGUGAAAACAGGAAGUAGUUCUGGUUUCUCUUCAUUCAUACCUCAAGAAGUGAGGUUUCUAAAGCACAAAGUUCAAAAGUCACAAAAGGAAAGUUUGAUAUAUUUAAUUACAUAAGAAUUAAAAAUUUCUACAUGGCAAAGUGCUUUAAAUGAAGUGAAAAGACAAGGACAGAUUGGGGAAAACAUUUGCUACACAAAUGACAGAGGAUUAAUUUCCUAAAUACAUAAAGAGCUUUUAUACUGCAGAAAGAAAAAAUAACAGCUAAUGGAAAAAUGGUCAAAGGAUAUGAAUAGACAGUUCACAGGAAAAAAUGCAAAUGGUCAUUAAACAUAUGAAAAAAAUAAUAACUUAUAUAGAGCUUUAUGUUUGUUUAUACAUUUAAUUUUCACAAUAACUAUAUGAAAAAUGUUAUUCUUCUGAUAUCUUUUUACUGAUAAGGAACCAAAACCAUAGAGAAGUUAAGUGCAUUGCCCACAGUCACUCAACUAAUAAGCAGUUGGGUAGGGAUUUGAGCCCAGGGACCAGUUUGUUCUCUCAAGCACUUCCUGUUCACACUCAUCUAUUCUACAAGACAUCCAGGACAGGUGUGGUGACUCGUGCCUGUAAUCCCAGCACUUUGGGAGGCAAGGAUUGCUUGAGGCCAGUAGUUCAAGACUAGCUUGAGCAACAUAGGGAGAUCUUGUCUCUACAAAAAAUAAAAAAAAUUAGCUGGGUGUGGUGGUGCACGCCUGUAGUACCAGCUACUUAGGAAGCUGAAGCUGCAGUGAGCAGUGAUUGCGCUGCUGAACUCCAGCAUCAGUGACAAAAUGAAACUCUGACUCAAACAUAAAUCCAAAACAAAACAAAAAUCCCAAAGAAAGAAAGAAAAGGAUUAAAACUACACCAAAACACCAUUCUUUAUAAAAAUCACAUUGGCAAAAAGCAAAAUGUUUGGUGGAAGGUUGAUAAAACUGUUGAGGAAACCAAGACUCACAUAUUGUUGGUACAAGUGAACUGGAACACCAUUUUGUAGGGCAAUUUGGCAAUAUUUAUCAAGAUUUUAUUUUAUUUAUUCUAAGAGACGGG
This 2936-nucleotide long non-coding RNA is filed under the name Homo sapiens (human). RNAcentral describes it as "HSALNT0030692". Lineage: Eukaryota; Metazoa; Chordata; Mammalia; Primates; Hominidae. The record is from RNAcentral.